GGAGGGAUGGUGCAGUGGUGAAGCACCUGGUACUCCCUGUGGUAACCAGCCACAGGCUGUAGGUUCGAAUCCUACUCCCUCCA
Molecule: transfer RNA, 83 nt
Filed under: Ampelomyces quisqualis
Lineage: Eukaryota; Fungi; Ascomycota; Dothideomycetes; Pleosporales; Phaeosphaeriaceae
Rfam family: tRNA
About the family: Transfer RNA (tRNA) molecules are approximately 80 nucleotides in length. Their secondary structure includes four short double-helical elements and three loops (D, anti-codon, and T loops). Further hydrogen bonds mediate the characteristic L-shaped molecular structure. tRNAs have two regions of fundamental functional importance: the anti-codon, which is responsible for specific mRNA codon recognition, and the 3' end, to which the tRNAs corresponding amino acid is attached (by aminoacyl-tRNA synthetases). tRNAs cope with the degeneracy of the genetic code in two manners: having more than one tRNA (with a specific anti-codon) for a particular amino acid; and 'wobble' base-pairing, i.e. permitting non-standard base-pairing at the 3rd anti-codon position.
Source: Rfam by way of RNAcentral